RNAcentral lists this small nuclear RNA (170 nucleotides) under Camelus ferus (Wild Bactrian camel). RNAcentral's name for it is "U1 spliceosomal RNA". It matches the Rfam family "U1 spliceosomal RNA". Rfam says of the family: U1 is a small nuclear RNA (snRNA) component of the spliceosome (involved in pre-mRNA splicing). Its 5' end forms complementary base pairs with the 5' splice junction, thus defining the 5' donor site of an intron. Lineage: Eukaryota; Metazoa; Chordata; Mammalia; Artiodactyla; Camelidae. The record is from Rfam by way of RNAcentral.
AUACUUACCUGGCAGGGGAGACACCAUGAUCACGAAGGUGGUUUUCCCAGGGCGAGGCUCAUCCAUUGCACUCUGGAUGUGCUGACCCCUGCGAUUCCUCCAAAUGUGGGAAACUCUACUGCAUAAUUUGUGGUAGUGGGGGGGGGGGGCUGCGUUCGCACUUUCCCCUG